CCUACGGGUGGCAGCAGUAGGGAAUCUUCGGCAAUGGACGAAAGUCUGACCGUGCAACGCCGCGUGAGUGAAGAAGGUUCUCGGAUCGUUAAACUCCGUUGGUAGAGAAGAACGUUGGUGAGAGUGGAAAGCUCAUCAAGUGACGGUAACUACCCAUAACGGGACGGCUAACUACGUGCCAGCAGCCCGGGUAAUACGUAGUUCCCGAGCGUUGUCCGUUUUUAUUGGGCGUAAAGCGAGGGCUGUUGGUUUGUAAAGUCUGUUGUAAAGGGGGGUGGUCAAACCAGUGUAUGCAUUGGAAAGUGGAAGACUAGAGUGCAGGAGAGGAAAGUGGAAUUCGAGGUGUAGCGGUGAAAUGCGUAGAUAUAUGGAGGAACACCGGUGGCGAAGGCGGCUCUCUGGGCUGUAACUGACACUGAGGCUCGAAAGCGUGGGGAGCAAACAGGAUUAGAUACCCUGGUAGUC
RNAcentral lists this ribosomal RNA (465 nucleotides) under uncultured bacterium. RNAcentral describes it as "partial 16S ribosomal RNA". It matches the Rfam family "Bacterial small subunit ribosomal RNA", at positions 338 to 795 of the family's 1533-position model. The record is from RNAcentral.